UCGUGAUCGAAAUGAAAUCAAAGAAAAUUGAUUGAGUUCGGACGAGUUAAUUCAGAUUCAAAAACUUUUACCGUUUCUCCGUUAAAAAAAUUAAAAAAAAAAAACUCUGGAGUGUGGACGACAGCUAAUUUGCACCAGCUGGAUGGCUGGAUCUGUUUAUAAAGUAGAAUUUGGGCAUACAUAUGGAUCAACUAGCCCAUCUAAUAUUAAGAAAUUGUUGGACCCAAAUGCCCAAUAACUAUACCCAGGUCGACAACUAGGGUUUUAUGGCUUUGUACACCUCUAUGUAAGCACCAGACAAGUGUACCAUUCUCUUCUUCAUUUGCGGUCUUCGCAAUGGAAGCGGUGCAUCUUUAACAGACGUCUGUGUUAGGUGUAGUGGAGCCAGGUCCCUGCUUGUCAGGGAGAACCUACUUGUUGGAAGCUACAUUACAUUGACAUUAGCGGAUUUUACUGAGGCAACUUUAAAGUUGAUUGUUUCAUAUAUUUUUGUUUUUUGUCCCAUAUGUAAUUUUAUGUUCUCUGUUUUCUCUAUCGAUUUUAACUAUACCCUUUUAUCCUUUAUAAUGGAGUGACAAACUCAGACAUUGUGUGUUGUCAUCAGCUUCAUCUACCAUACGACCGACGAUAUUGGAGUUAAAUAACAGCACUGCAUUUGGUGCCUUGAGUUUAUUGAAAAUGUUAUUGGUGCAUGUUCUUUAAUGAUCUUUUCUGUCCCUGGAAUUUUUUUCGUUGAAUUGUUGGUUCGUUGAUUGCAGGUUCAUGAAUGACUGGUACCUUAAUCUCAUGGACAUGUACAUAUAUUUGAGAAGUUGGCGCAAUCUAGACAGAAGUUGGUGUUGAGACUAUGUAAAGAAAUGUAUUCCUAUACAGUUCAUAGCAAAACUGACUGUACAUAUACAGGGGCUUCUUGGUGGCUGAUUGGCAAGGCAUUUCUAGUAUACAAAUACCUUUGUUAUUUCAACUAGUACUUUAUAAUAUAUUAAUAAUUAUUUAAAUGGUAA
Molecule: long non-coding RNA, 1004 nt
Organism: Hevea brasiliensis (rubber tree)
Lineage: Eukaryota; Viridiplantae; Streptophyta; Magnoliopsida; Malpighiales; Euphorbiaceae
Exons: 2
Source: RefSeq, a predicted model, not a curated record